This 171-nucleotide small RNA is filed under the name Atopomonas hussainii. RNAcentral describes it as "Pseudomonas hussainii Pseudomonas sRNA P1". The record is from RNAcentral. Lineage: Bacteria; Pseudomonadati; Pseudomonadota; Gammaproteobacteria; Pseudomonadales; Pseudomonadaceae.
AUGCACGGUGGAUGAAUGUGAGCCGAGCUUAGCCUUGUUCAUUUUUUUUCACAACAGGCUUUGUGAAAUAUUCUGAACACCCGCUUGAACCCCUGAAGAAAACCCUGCUGCGCGCCUUGAAAUGCCCGCUAUUGGCCCAUUAAUAGGCUACACUGCCCGCUAUAGGUGCAU